RNAcentral lists this ribosomal RNA (443 nucleotides) under uncultured bacterium. RNAcentral's name for it is "partial 16S ribosomal RNA". It matches the Rfam family "Bacterial small subunit ribosomal RNA", at positions 338 to 795 of the family's 1533-position model. The record is from RNAcentral.
CCUACGGGUGGCAGCAGUGGGGAAUAUUGCACAAUGGGCGAAAGCCUGAUGCAGCCACGCUGCGUGUAGGAAGAAGGGUUUCGGCUCGUAAACUUCUAUCAACAGGGACGAAAGAAAUGACGGUACCUGAAUAACACGCCCCGGCUAACUACGUACCAGCAGCCGCGGUAAUACGUAGGGGGCACGCGUUAUGCGGAAUUACUGGGUGUAAAGGGUGAGUAGGCGGGAUGGUAAGCCAGAUGUGAAAGCCUUGGGCUUAACCCGAGGAUUGCAUUUGGAACUAUCAAGCUAGAGUACAGGAGAGGAAAGCGGAAUUCCUGGUGUAGCGGUGAAAUGCGUAGAGAUUAGGAAGAACACCAGUGGCGAAGGCGGCUUUCUGGACUGAAACUGACGCUGAGGCACGAAAGCGUGGGGAGCGAACAGGAUUAGAUACCCUGGUAGUC